RNAcentral lists this ribosomal RNA (79 nucleotides) under Clostridium sp. AF50-3. RNAcentral describes it as "partial 16S ribosomal RNA". It matches the Rfam family "Bacterial small subunit ribosomal RNA", at positions 1 to 77 of the family's 1533-position model. Lineage: Bacteria; Bacillati; Bacillota; Clostridia; Eubacteriales; Clostridiaceae. The record is from RNAcentral.
UUUAACAUGAGAGUUUGAUCCUGGCUCAGGAUGAACGCUGGCGGCGUGCUUAACACAUGCAAGUCGAACGAAGCGAUUU